AUAUGGAAGUUCCCAGGCUAGGAAUCGAAUUGGAGAUGCAGCUUCUGACGUACACCACAGCCACAGCAAUACAGGAUCCAGGUCACGUCUGCGACCUACACCACAGCUCAGGGGACCCACUGAGUGAGGCCAGGCUUCUAACCCUCGUCCUUAUAGACACUAGUUGGGUUCAUUACCGUUGAGCCACAAUGAGAACCCCAGAUACUUUUUAAAGUGAAAGAAAAUUUAAAAGAUUCAUACCUUUUUCUUUGCCCUUGUCUUUAACCUACUAUUCAUGUUUAUUACAUAAUUCAUUUAAUUUUCUUUAUUCCUUGUUUUCCUUUGAAGUAAUAUACUUCAUCUAGAGUCAUUUCACCAAAAUCAAAGUCACUGAUUUAUUAUAUCAUCAAAUCACCAAACAAAAAACAAUUUAUGCACAUGAGAAGGUUUCAUCCCCUUUUGAAAAUUUUACUGUAUGUUUGAAUGUGGUUUUCUUUUUAAUAUUUUAUCUCUUGCACAUUUUUUCAGCAUUCAAAGAAAUGUUUAGUCAGGUUGGUUAGAAAGAAGAUUUGCUAAACUGGCAAAACAUAAUGCAUCGAUUGCUUCACAAAAGCAGUGCCCCCUAUUACAUCAAAUCCUCUAAAUAUGGAAGUAUCCUUAACAUGAAAGGAAAGUUUUGGGCAUAUUAAACAUUAUGCAAAAAGACCUUUCAAGUGGAGAACUGACAAAAAGCCUUAGGAAUUUAAACCUCCUUUACAAACUAUUUUCUUCCAAGUUUUUCCAGAUUUUAGAUGAUAAUUUUUCAGUGGGACUCUUUGAGGGUGAAACAAAUCUAAUUUCAUUUUAUAAUCAAAAAUCUUAUCUAUAGAACACAUUCUUUAAACAUCAUCAAUAUUCUAUGUAGGUAUGAAGGAGAAUAAACUGUAUCCCUAUUUUUAGAUUUUUAGUGGUUUGUUUUAAAAUUGCAGUUGAAAUUUGCAUUUUGUAAUAUAAUAAUUGGACUGAUCAAUUUCUGUUCAAUUACAAGAAAGCAAGGGUGUUGUCUAAUGUAUAUACAAACCAGGCUUUCAAAGAAUAUACAGAUGAAUGUAUGUCCUUUAUUAUACUCAAAAGAUUUCAGAUACCUCCCUAUGUAUGUUUUUUCUUUCUUCCUUGACUUUUUUUUUUUUAUAUUUAGGUUAAUUUCUCUCUAACCUAUUUAAAUGAAGACUAUUCUAGAACCUUAGUCAAAACUAGAGAUUUUGUAUCCAAACACAUAUCCACAAAUAACUUCUAGAAAAUCCUAGUGGAUGAAAAGCCUUUAACAUGGACAAUCUCACUAAGAGAGUAAAGCUGUACUUCUUUUCAUGUUUAUUACUUUACAUGUCUGGUAAUCUAAAAAAUGAUUUAACUCUACUUAGUAUAUGUUCUCCCUUCAAACUGGAAGAUGGAAGGGGUUUUAGAGUUCAUUUGAACUAGAGAUUCUAGAAAUGCUGAAUAUCAAAGAAUGUCAUUUUUUUUCUAAAAUGUAAAAAAAAAAUCAGUGCUGGAUAUAAUCAGGAGCUGGUUAUUUAGACAAAAAAAAUAUCCUGUACUAUUGCCAUUACUUCAUCAAAGAAGAACCAAAAGAAAACUAGGCACAAAAAUAAGUAUUUAGUUUUAUAUAUUUUAAAAAGGAUUGAAAUUUUUACCUCAUUAUUCUUAUAAUCUCACAGGUUAGUGGAAAAUUUUAGUAUCACAACUUCAUUAUCACAGACUGGCAUUGGGGAUACCUUUCUAGUCCAAUGCUCUCAAUACUAUAGAAAACUGAAGGAAGUGAUUUUGUGGCUGAAUCAGAAAUAAGACCCCUUUCUUCUGAUUCCCCACUGAGUUGGUGUCUUUAUGUCUAGCUGAAGACCUAGGGCUGACUGUUAAAUUUCCUUGCCUCUCUAUCUUUGUUUUCUUAUUCUGAAAAGCAGGUUGCUGAUGAAGACUACCAAGGUCACUUUCUGUUCCCUAACAUUGAAGAUGGAAGGGGAGAGGUUCUUCACCCAGCGGGGCAUACAGACACAAAUAACAUCUGGAAAACCUCUCACUAGAAUAUAAACCAAAUGGGGAAGGACGAGCUAAAAUGUGAACCAUUUUUCACUUGUGGGAACAUGUUGGCAAUGAGCCAGAUGUGGAGCUCAGUUCUACAAGUGAUUGACACGGGUCCCCAUCAGCUCUGCCAAUCAGAACCACUCAUACUCCAGGACGGUGACUCUGGAAACUCCCAAGAGCCUAUACAAAGAAACUCUUCAUUCAGAACUUGAAGGAUGUCCACACCCAUCUCCAGUGUGCUGAACGUGCCCACGGUGAUGACACCUCCAUCAGGGAAUGAGUCCAGAUAUAAACUAAGCAGGACAAGAAAACUUUGUGCAAUACUAGUUGGUGCAGCCUUAAUUCAGAGACAAUACACACGAUGUCUAGAAAUAAAACACUCCAGCCUUCCCACGUGAAAUUCAAAAGAAAAAUUGAAUGCCAGCUUUCUCUGUUUUAAAUGAAUCUUAAAACACAAAAGUAGGGCUGUUGCUCAGCAACCAAGAUGAACACAGAAAUGGGUUGUUCCUGCAGCUGUGAGACCCUGUGAAGUCCUAGGGGCGUUGGGGGUGGGUGAGCAGGGUUGAAAGUCCCGCCAGCUGAUGUGGUAGUGCAGGUUACAGACAUAGUGACUGGAAGAAAUAAAGGAAUGUGGCCAUUCUUACAUCCUAGUGUUUGGUCCUGAAGAUCAGAUGAGUUACAUGUAAAUGUUGGAGGUACAAAAUGGCAGAGGAACCCAGAAUAAGCCAUUUCAGUCUCUCUGGUGUCAAUCCCAGUGUCAAAGCUUCCUCAAGGGUCCUGUUCGCCGAAGGGAGAAGGACCAGAGAGACAGGGAAACGUCAUUUCAGGGGCUGGAAUAGCACAUGCUAAGCCAGGAAUCACCUCAACACAGGGUGUUAUUUAGAGCACACAUCUCAUGAAACCACAUAAUGCAUCUUCCAGGAAAAUUUCAAAAUUCCAUUAAAUUUUCAAAUGAAUAAAUAACAGGUUGUUAUUUAGGCAAUAACAUGUGACUAUGGGCCCACAGUGUAUUUACUAAACAGUGUCAUUCAAAAUACAUGGAGAGAAAGGCCAAUAUUCUAAUGACAGAAUUACUGAUGGACAAUAGAAAAAAAGAGGAAAUGAUAAAUAUCUGGCCUACUAAAUCAUCCAUUUAUUCCCAAAAUUCCAUCCCAUUUUCUUACUUAUUAGACCUUAGUGUUUUAUUUUAUUCUGUUGUCUGUUUAAUAUACCCUUACAAAUGACAGAGGUCAAUAGAUGGUGAUUAAAUGCAUGGACUAAAAUGGAAUUAAGCUUUGCUUUUUUAGAGUUUUCAAAGUAAAGAAAGUCUUAUCAUAGUUUUGAAGACAGACAUUGUGUAUGUGUGCAUGUGUACAUGUAAACAUAUAACAUACAAACAUAGUUUCAAGAAAAACAACGACCACUAGGCUUCAAUUGCAUUUUCUUUUUCUUAUCCGUGUCUCCACUUUUUCCUUCUCUACGGCCUCCUGUGUUGCUCAGGGACAGACACUUCACAUGAGAAGCAGACUCUGGACCUAUCCUGUCAGGAUCAGUGAGAAAGGCAGAGGCCAUUCUGAUUCGGUUUUAACGUUUUUUUUCCAAGCUGGCUCAGGGAAAACUGAGGAGCCAGGCAAACAACAACAAGCUUCUAUUCCCACCACUGAAUUGGGCUCAGUUCUCAGGGAGCCUGUUCAGGAAGCACAGAGCAUCCCAAACAGGCAGGAACAGGGACCCUGUGUCCACAGUCCUGUGGCUGGACUCACUGCCACCUCUAGGGGGAACCCCAUUCUCAGGAAUUUUUUCCUCUCAGCACAGCCCAGACCUUGACUUUCCACAGUCCCCUCCCCCACCUGCUCCUCCACAGAAUAUUCACAUUUGGCUUUCAGAUGUCCACAGCUGGCAUUUUUCUUGAAACUUUUUAGUUAAAAUGUGAAUAAAUUAUUCAGGCAGAGGCACAUGUCGGAAUUGUUAUUACCAUAAAAGAACCAAUGCUUCUUGAAUAUUCUACACCAAGAAAAGGAUGGGAAGGCCCUGAGUCUCCAUGAAUAGAGAAAGCUUUUCCUUCAAAGAACUCAAGGUCCUCCAUGGCGUUCUGAUAAUUACAGUUCACAUGGUCUCUUUUCCUCCAAGUCUGUACACAGGAUAUGCACAAAAGUGUUCGAUGCCCACAGAGGUUUGGGUCAUGCUGAGAUUAAAAAAAAAAACAAAACCCCAAAACUUAAUAACAAGGAAUAGAUUCCUUUAUUACAGACAUAGCCUUUAACAUGCUAAUUCACACUGAAUCUGCACAUGUGACAGUUCCUGCUACCCUUCCUUGAAACCACGUUUUUCCUCUUGGCGGCACACCUACUAUUCUUUCUUGGGAUUAAUGUUUCAAGGAGCAUAGUUAAUACCAUGAAAUUAAGCAUAAGGGAAGCUAGAGGAAAUAGCAGAAAAGGAGGACAAAGAGGACACAGAUUCCGUACAGGACUGAUUCAUGCCUGUGUCUUGUGUUGGGAUCUUACCCAGCCUUGAUCUCAGAGUGCACUGCCCAUUUCAUUCAUAAAAAGCCAACUUUCUAAAUUAAUGACAGCAUGGCUCCUACCAGAAGGAAUUUCAGUAUGCUCUUCCUUGUCAUGCAGGGCUUCUCUCUAUCUGGCCACCCCCUGCCUUUUUAGCAGAGUCCCCAUUUUGUGUGUGAUAUACAAUCCAUCUAUGACAUGUGGAGCUUCUUGGAAGAUGUCAGGCAUCUUCCUCUUCUUUCACUCUGAUAAUGCUCUUCCUUCUGCCUGGAAAGCUUUCUUCUCCCUACUGUCCCUUCCCUGUGCUCUGCGCAUGCUCAAUCAAUUCCCGCCAUCUCUCAAGACUGACCCACACAGAGCAUGGCCAUUGCUUUGACACCUCUGUGAUCACACCACUUCUUAUACCGCUCACACACCUGCAGAAUAGCAACAGUUAAGUUUGUUAUUUGUAAGUCCUCCUGGACCAGGGGUAUCUCAAGGUCCAAGAACCACAUUUAGCAUCUCCUGCAACCAAUAGACUCUUCCACACAGCACACAAGGAUGGCAUCACAGGAGUGGAUGGACAGUGACCUAAGAGCUCUGUUUUCUGUGACAGAUAACUGAACAAGGUCAGUACAAAAAAGCCUCUUAGUUUUUCCUUCUCAUUGCCAAGCCCCAGUCAUCCUCAAGGGUAGUAAGCGAUUGAAAAGGUUUUAAAACUUGACAAAAAAGAAGAGCCUUGAGACUUCUAAUAGAAUCAAAUGUAGAGACAAGCAUGGUGCCCUUGAACCAGGUUCGCUGGUUCCUUCCCACCCAGUCAUGUCUGCUGAGGCCCCUCUCAGAAGCCCAUGGCUCCAAGAAACCCUUUCUCACAGCUAUUAACACAGGAAAUGUCCCCAUAGUAAAGCUGCUUUAACCAGGAACAAUCCAUCCUCCUGAAGGAUUAUAUUCCACCACCAUGAAGUCAGGCCGUAUCAUGUAUCUGUUCUGCAAUAUGGAAUACAGAUCUUCACUUCCUAGUAUAAUGAAAACUGAUCUACAAAGUUUUCUGAGGGAAAGAGGAAAAUAAAUGCUGCAUACUUUCAAAGCUUUUGUUUGUAAAUGAAAAUGUAUAGAUAACAAUAACUAGCUUUCUGGGCUGAAAACAAAUAAAAACCCACCUAUUUGGAUA
RNAcentral lists this long non-coding RNA (5667 nucleotides) under Sus scrofa (pig). Its description in RNAcentral is "lncRNA (ENSSSCG00040038012.1)". The record is from RNAcentral. Lineage: Eukaryota; Metazoa; Chordata; Mammalia; Artiodactyla; Suidae.